This 119-nucleotide ribosomal RNA is filed under the name Laticauda laticaudata (blue-ringed sea krait). The record is from RNAcentral. Lineage: Eukaryota; Metazoa; Chordata; Lepidosauria; Squamata; Elapidae.
GUUUACGGCCCUACUACCGUGAAUACGCUUAAUCUCAUCUGAUCUCGGAAGCUAAGCAGGGUUAGGCCUGGUUAGUAUUUGGAUGGGAGACCGCCUGGGAAUACCAAGUGCUUUUUAAU